AGCGGCAGACGGGUGAGUAACGCGUGGGAAUCUACCCAUCUCUACGGAACAACUCCGGGAAACUGGAGCUAAUACCGUAUACGUCCUUCGGGAGAAAGAUUUAUCGGAGAUGGAUGAGCCCGCGUUGGAUUAGCUAGUUGGUGGGGUAAUGGCCUACCAAGGCGACGAUCCAUAGCUGGUCUGAGAGGAUGAUCAGCCACACUGGGACUGAGACACGGCCCAG
This 223-nucleotide ribosomal RNA is filed under the name uncultured bacterium. RNAcentral describes it as "partial 16S ribosomal RNA". It matches the Rfam family "Bacterial small subunit ribosomal RNA", at positions 94 to 334 of the family's 1533-position model. The record is from RNAcentral.